AAGGCUGAAUACUGCUUUGAUAAAACAAAUCAGACUGCAGCCCAUUACAUGCAAUGGGACAGUCUUCAUUUUAUUUGUUAAGAUUAUAUAAGAUCGUCAUAUAAAAUGAUCCAAAAUGUGCUCUUCGGACUUUCAUAUUCCGGAAGCUGCUGUGGCAGUGACAAUGAGGGAUGGAGCUCACAGAAGCAAGGCGCUUGAAAUGGCAAACGCCGUCUGUGUGAAGAGCUUCUGAAGCAGAACUCAGAGCAGUAGAGCAUUCUACGACUUUAUGUCCUGAGGAAGAUUCAGUUUUCCUAGAUUUCCAUGAGAGGUCACACUGUUCCUGCUGUCUCCAUGCCAGUCUCAUCUGAAAAUGGUAUACUAAAAUCAUUCUGACUGCAGGGACAGGAAACAAUGUCACCUUGCUGAUUGGGACCAAUCAGGAUUCACCGUCAUGGCAACGGCCUUCCGAAACCGGGAAACCUGGAGUCUGCUAGAGAAUUUGCUGUGGUUUUCAGGCAGCCAAGCUGACACUAUAUGUCAUAUAUACAGCUCUGGAAAAGAUAUUAAAGAGACCACUGAAAAAUCCUCAUUUUCUCUGCUUUCACUAUUUAUAGGUAUGUGUUUGAGUAAAAAAACUUUAUUUCAUAAACUACUCAGAACAUCUCCACAUAUUUCCAAAUGAAAUAUUGUAAUUUAUUUACAGAAAAUAACAACUAAUAAAAAAGAUCCAGUGUUUUCAAACAAGUUCAUAUUCAUUUUUAAAAAACACAAUACUAAUGAUUCAACAUAGGACGUGUUCAGAAAUCAGUAUUUAGUGGAAUAAUUUAGUGAUUUUCAAUCACGGCUUUUAUGCGUCUCCACGUGCUCUCCACCACUCUUUCACAGUGCUCGUUAAAUAAGAUUUCGUUCAGGUGAUCUCUUAAUCAGUACCUCAUUAAGUAGAAUGAGGUGUGCCUGUGUUAGAAUUCAACCAACACAGGCGGCCCGAGAGAUUUUGAGUGGUCUUUUAAAUUUUUCCAGUGCUGUAUAUGCUGUUUCUACCAAUUAAAUAUAUUUGUUUUCUAAUAAAUAAAUAUAUGAAUUUCUAAUAAAAUAAAUAUAUCUGUACAUG
This is a long non-coding RNA of Electrophorus electricus (electric eel), 1093 nucleotides long. RefSeq lists it as uncharacterized. NCBI's taxonomy places the organism in Eukaryota, Metazoa, Chordata, Actinopteri, Gymnotiformes, Gymnotidae. The record is from RefSeq and is a predicted model, not a curated record.